RNAcentral lists this ribosomal RNA (32 nucleotides) under Scorias leucadendri. Its description in RNAcentral is "partial 28S ribosomal RNA". Lineage: Eukaryota; Fungi; Ascomycota; Dothideomycetes; Capnodiales; Readerielliopsidaceae. The record is from RNAcentral.
GUUGACCUCGGAUCAGGUGGGGAUACCCGCUG